RNAcentral lists this ribosomal RNA (355 nucleotides) under uncultured bacterium. RNAcentral describes it as "bacterial SSU rRNA". It matches the Rfam family "Bacterial small subunit ribosomal RNA", at positions 28 to 414 of the family's 1533-position model. The record is from RNAcentral.
GAUGAACGCUGGCGGCGUGCCUAAGACAUGCAAGUCGAGUGGGUUUAGACCCACGGCAAACGGGUGAGUAAUAUUUAGGAACGUGCCUCUAGUUGAGCAUAACCUAUCGAAAGGUAGAGUAAUUCUCAAUGUGACCGCAAGGUUAAAGUCGCAAGACGCUAGAGAAGCGGCCUGGACACCAUCAGCUAGUUGGUAAGGUAAUGGCUUACCAAGGCUUUGACGGUUAGGGUCCCGAGAGGGAUAACCCCCACACUGGAACUGAGACACGGUCCAGACUCCUACGGGAGGCAGCAGUUUGGAAUUUUGGACAAUGGGCGAAAGACCUGAUCCAGCGACGCCGCGUGGACGAUGAAGG